Molecule: ribosomal RNA, 253 nt
Filed under: uncultured bacterium
Lineage: Bacteria
Description: partial 16S ribosomal RNA
Rfam family: Bacterial small subunit ribosomal RNA
Source: RNAcentral
UACGUAGGGGGCAAGCGUUGUCCGGAUUUAUUGGGCGUAAAGGGCGUGUAGGCGGUUUGGUAGGUCCGUUGUGAAAACUCGAGGCUCAACCUCGAGACGCCGAUGGAAACCAUCAGACUAGAGUCCGGAAGAGGAGAGUGGAAUUCCUGGUGUAGCGGUGAAAUGCGCAGAUAUCAGGAAGAACACCCGUGGCUAAGGCGGCUCUCUAGUACGGUACUGACGCUGAGACGCGAAGGCGUGGGGAGCGAACAGG